RNAcentral lists this non-coding RNA (50 nucleotides) under Trichobilharzia regenti. The record is from RNAcentral. Lineage: Eukaryota; Metazoa; Platyhelminthes; Trematoda; Strigeidida; Schistosomatidae.
GUACUGAUGAAGAGUCCCAAACUAGUUGGGACGAAACAGCUGUCCGGUAA